RNAcentral lists this ribosomal RNA (468 nucleotides) under uncultured bacterium. RNAcentral's name for it is "partial 16S ribosomal RNA". It matches the Rfam family "Bacterial small subunit ribosomal RNA", at positions 28 to 507 of the family's 1533-position model. The record is from RNAcentral.
GACGAACGCUGGCGGCGUGCUUAACACAUGCAAGUCGAACGGAAAGGCCCUGCUUUUGUGGGGUGCUCGAGUGGCGAACGGGUGAGUAACACGUGAGUAACCUGCCCUUGACUUUGGGCUACCUUCAGGAAACUGGGGCUAAUACCGGAUAGGAGCUCCUGCUGCAUGGUGGGGGUUGGAAAGUUUCGGCGGUUGGGGAUGGACUCGCGGCUUAUCAGCUUGUUGGUGGGGUAGUGGCUUACCAAGGCUUUGACGGGUAGCCGGCCUGAGAGGGUGACCGGCCACAUUGGGACUGAGAUACGGCCCAGACUCCUACGGGAGGCAGCAGUGGGGAAUAGUGCACAAUGGGCGGAAGCCUGAUGCAGCAACGCCGCGUGCGGGAUGACGGCCUUCGGGUUGUAAACCGCUUUCGCCUGUGACGAAGCGUGAGUGACGGUAAUGGGUAAAGAAGCACCGGCUAACUACGUG